Apis cerana (Asiatic honeybee) is the source of this 9492-nucleotide long non-coding RNA. RefSeq lists it as uncharacterized. The record is from RefSeq and is a predicted model, not a curated record. Lineage: Eukaryota; Metazoa; Arthropoda; Insecta; Hymenoptera; Apidae.
AAGUCCGGAAGAAAGCUCUCGACGUGAUAAGUCGUCGCACGCAUUACGGUCCAUUACGCUGUUGUGCGACGACACACGGUGGACAAAGUAGCCUGCAUCGUGGUUGUUGCUUCGAACGUCUCGCUCGAUCGGUAAAUGAACAUCUAGGAACGUUUGCCACGCGAAAAAAAGAAACGAGCGUUUGCAAGAUGAGUUGACGUUUAGGUUAGGUGAGAACGUGAUAUGCUCAAGAAAAGUGAAUAAGAAUUUUUUGUGUAAUAAAUUUUACUGUUGCAUUCUGUUAUUCGCUGAGAUUUAAAAGGAUUUAAGGAAAAGUAAGGAUUUGAGAGGUUAGGGAUGCGUGAAGGAAUGCGACUAGAGAAAUCUCACUAGAGAGAAAAGUUAGUAAAUUUCUAGUCAGUUUCUGAGAAGAGAAAUUGUUGAGUGGUAAUUUUUAAAUCGAGUAAAUAUAAAAAUCAUGUCGAUUAUACUUUAUAAAGCUCGCUUAGAUCUCGUAGGAAUCUUAAACGCGAUAUAUCACGAGCGUAUCGAAGCGUGUGUUAUUUUUCGCUUCUAAUAAUUCAAAGAAGAAGGCAUGCGCUAUCUUCUGCACUGCAUACAUUCUAGCAGCCUAUAAAUCAAAAGAUUUAUUACACUCAUAAAAUCGCAGAAAAAUGUAGAUCGUCUCCAGAACUGAUGUACAACCAACGCAGAAUUUCUAUACAUUCUUGCAAUUCCAAAAGAACAAUCCUUCAUCGAAGAUGACGAUCGAUCAUCGAAACCUUUCGAAUCCGUCAUGGAUGAAUAGAUAGAAAAGCAGAGAGGGUGGGAAGGAAGCGAAAAAGCGUGAUGGUGUCACUGAUUCAACGUCGGAUGAUGGACGACAGGAUCGUGCAAAAAUGUAAUUUGUCAACUCAUGGAACGAUGUAACCGGAAAUAACCUCCUGUACCUUCCAAUACUGCUCUCGCGCAAUGAAGAUUAUGAUUGAUUCCAUCAACUUCCUUCAGGUGGUUGCAAUUCCUGUGACUUUGCAAUCGAUGGUGACUUGUUGACAAUUUUUCGAGAUCUUUGUUUUUUUUUCUUUUUUUUUUUUUGAUCGAAUAAAAUUGGAAAAACGUAAAAUUUGCGACAACAAUUUGAGAUUUUAUUUCUAGGUUAGGUCUGCUUUAUAUUUUAGACAGAUCUUUUUUUUAAGCCUCUUUUAAAGAAGAUUCGUUAAAAGAAAGAAAAGAAUAUUUCAAUGAGAAUAUCAGAUAUUUCUAUUCAAAGAACGGCGUAUAGCUCGGUGUAAAUCUAAUUUAUUAUACAUCUAUGCGGAGGAUCGAAAGAGCACGAUUUAAAUCUAAAUUCCGUGGAACUUUAUCUGUCUUAAGUUCGAUACGAAUUAAUAAUCGAAUGAAAUUACCUUCCUUCGCAAAUAUAAUUUAUUUGUUCGUUCAUUCAGAAUUGAAAGGAAGAGGAGAAACAUUGUCAUUAAUGUUAAAAAAAUCCAAGCUUCGAAAAGGAAUUGUUUUCCAAAAUGUAAAAACCUCCAUCUUAUUUCCUCACUUUCAAAUUUAACAAAAUUCCAAAACAAUUCUAAAAAUCUCCUCGAUUACAAAUUACAAAUUCAUUAAAAACACAAAACAUUUCGAAAUCCCCAAAACUUCACCACCAAUACUACCAAUCCAUCUCCAUUAAAAUAUUUUUCGACCAUCAGAAAAUACGAAUCAAUUUGUCCAUCUUUUCAAACUUCAAACUGCACCGAAACAAUCGCAAAUUCUCGAAAUUCUCUGCUAAAAAAUUCAUCUCCGUCAUUAAAAAAUCAAAUUCGAGCGGCAAACACGGGAAUAGGCGAAAGUUACUUAUGCAUAAUUGUGUUAAAACGAUCCGAGUUCCAUCGAAAUUCACCCUCCUGGCCCAGGACAAAAAGCGCGGACGAGGCGCGCGCAAAAGUAGCGAGAAACGGCGAGAUAAAUUAGCUGUUUAACUCGGUUCUCUAAUUUCCAUGCAACCGUCCAUUAAUUAAUCCAACGGCUUAAAAUAGUUGGAAUACCGGGGCUGGAUUGCGGGGGGAGGAAUUGGGUGGAGAUCGGUGUCGUGUUUUAAGGAUGGAGAAAGCCUCGUCGAAGGCUCGUCGAAGCGAGAACGAAGCGGGCGACCGCAAGCGGGGGAAGUGUGGAUCGAGUUCUCGUGGCCAGGGGUGGUUUGCUAGUUGCGUUCGGGGGUUGGGCGAGGGUGGAACGUCCUUGGUAUGCCAACCGAACACCCUGAAUAUUGGUUAGCUACGUGCCUGACCCACCGCAACCCGGCGGAUAUGUCACUUCCGCUUGCUCGACGAUUUUCCUAUAUCUCUGUCGAUGUGUGGGAGAGCCACCCCUCCCCUCCCCUCCCCUGUUUGAAUAAAGUUUCGCUCGUGACCGAGGCGAGAAGAGGAGAAGUGAAUAACGAGGGUGAUUUAUUAUUGUUUUUUUUCUAUUUUCAAAUUGUUUCUCGAUCAAUGUGCUUUAAGAGCGUUUAAAAAGCAUCCCCCUUAUCGGGAUGGAAUAAAAUUUUUGUUCGUAAAUUAAGGAAAAUUUAAUUUAUAUAUAUAUUUUUUUAUUUAUUAUUUGAAUUUCUGCACGAUACGAUACGAUACAACGGUGGACUUGUAGUAUUUCUAUAAUUAUUAUUACGUGUUAACCUUGUAUUUAUUGACCGAAAUUCAUCGACUAAAUAUUUUAAGGCGAGGUAUUAUUAGCCACUAUUUAUAUUGAUCGCCAAUCUAUUUUUAUCUUAUUGCUUCGUAUUUCCAUUAUAUUUUACUGAUCAAGCUUAGAAGGGUCUAUGUUUGUGUAAUAUUUUUUAUUCUUUUUCCAUAUCAAUUUCCUUUUAUCCAAAUUAAUUAAUUAUUUCAAGAAUAUAUAUGUAUAGAAGAAGAAAAAAUAUCUCUUUUCGCGCGGUAUUUUUUCGCAAAAAAACUUUACAAAUGUCGUUUGUAAGCCUACAAGGAAAAUUAGGUCCAAGCAGGAUCUAAAUUAUCUUAAAAAUCGGUAUUCACAAACGAGCGGUUUGAUAAUCUCACGUGGGUCAAGUUUUUAUCUCUUUCUUUCUUUUUUUUUUUUUUUUUUACCUUUUUGUAUAAACCCACGAAAUCUGUCUCGUAAAGCUGGUAUAUGAAAUAAUUCACCUGGGAUUAACUACAUGUGUAAUUUUUAUCGCAAUUUUCCAAGCGGAAUCCCUAAUUCCCUGUACUCUUUCCCACAAAGAUUUCUCCAUAUCGAGUUUCCGUGACAUCCUUUUCAUACGACCUGACAUUAUCUUUGAUUCUAAAAACAAAAAAAAAAUUUAACAUACGAAUUGAAGAAUUCGUUCAAAAGAUUUGGAAAAUUAAUCUGAACUUUUAAAAAAUUAAAGAAAAAAGAAAAGGAAUGAAAAUACAAAUCUUAAGGGCUUUAAAUAUCUGAAAAAUGCAAAGAAGAAUUGUAAGAAAUUUUUUGAGUCUAAAUUACAUUUUACGUAUAUAUAAAUUUUGUAUAAAAAUUUAAAUUUACAAAUCCACUUCAUUUCUAAAUUAAAAAAAAAUCUCAAUUAAUAAAAUCUAAUUGUAAUUUUAAUUCCUUCCAAAUCUAAAUUUCACCUUACAAUUUUCAUUUUCAUUUUCUUUCCCAAAACAAAAUCUCAAUUCUAACAGAAUAUUCUCUUCGUUAAGUUUUAUAAAUUAAAUGGCACAUCUUGCACAAUUUUCAUUCCCAAAUUUCAAAAUAAAUCUUCAACAAGAUUCUCUAUCAAAUUUUACAAAGUGUUUCAAAGUAACGACAAUCGCCAAAUUUCUAAAAUAAAUUCUUGUGAUCGAAAUUUUUAUUAAUCCCCUCUCUUCGAAACGGCAGAUCUUAUUAUCGUUCAAUCACAAAACGAUCGUGGAAAGAUUGGGGACAAAAAGAGAGAAAGACUAAGGGCAAUUUCGCGAGAAACGGUUCGAGUGGCCACGGCCUGAUUAACGCGAUUAUCUCUCUCUCCUUUUCCCUUUCUCCUCGAUCAAUUAAAUUUCCCGCGUCGCGUCGAUAUCGAAAGUAAGAAAAAUGGAAUCUAUGGAGGGAAAAAACGUUCGAUGAUCAUGCUCCUUUCUUUUCUUUUCUUUAUUUUCUUUUUUUUUAUUGGAUCCUGUGAUUAUCUCUUUAACAUCAUCCUCUUUGUCCAUCUCGACCAGUAAUAUUCUUUGUCGCGUAAUUAAAAAUGGAAUAAGAUUCCAGAGUGAUUCAUUAUGCAGGUUAAUAAAAGUUAUAGGAAUAAAAUGAAUCGAUCGAGUUUUUAAAAAUUAGUGAAAAAUAUCGAUGCAAACAAUUGAUUAAUUAUUUAUCAAAAAUAAUUAGAUUUAAAAAAGUUUGAAUUUUCAAAUAAUCCUUCUUCCUCUCGUGUUUCAUUUAUUAUUACACUCCAAUUUUACUUUCGGCGCGACAAAAACGAUCGAUCAAGGUUGAUUAAUCCUCUUUUACCCAAAUCCCACGUAAAUAGAUUUAAAUCCAAAUUACCAAUAAUCCAUCCGGAUCCGAAAUAAUCACGAAUACGUCACCCAAAAUGUUUCGUUUCGAAUCGAACUCGAUCCAUUUCCCACGAAAACGACCGUUUCGUUCCAUUCCCAUCACGAUUUCGUUUCAUUAGACCCGACUUCCGCCGGCUCCCUCUUUUUUUGUUUAACAGCCACGAAUUUCUUCCGCCUCUCCUUUCCACUCCCUGCCUCCGCCCUCGUAAACCGGGCCCUCGACUUUUCGAAAUGUCACGCGUAGGUAGCCAUUCGUAUUCCUCCUCCAGUUGGAAGUUCUUUACAUACGAUUUUUAAAAAUUCUUCGCUCCGUUGAUUUAUUUUUUCCUUUUUUUUCCCCGGUAGAUUGAUGCGUAAACGUGGACUCUGUUUCUUCGAAAAUGAUUAAUUCUGAAAGUAUACCGAAUAAGUGAUUCUUAACUCGCUUGAAAUAACGUCCGUUUUAAAAUGUAUUUAUUAUAUCUGAAAAACAAUCGGCCACGUAAUGACCAUACUCGAUGCAGGCUUCAACAAUUAUUUUCGAGCAGGCUUCCACUCCUUUCACUCCAAAACGAAGGAAGCGGGCCGAGGAAUAAUAAUCGAAUCGCGAAGAUUUCUCGUCCGUGAAAGGAACGGGGCAGCCGAAAAAGAAGGAGAGAAGCGAAACAAGAGGAAGCUGUUAACCGGAUAUUCGAGUAGGAAACGCGAGAAAGCAAGGACAAGCCGGUCCCAAAUCGGGGGAGAGUUGUUGGGAAGAGAGGAGGAGAAAAACAUGGCCACGAUUGCGGAAAGUCGCCAAUUAAGGCGAGAGGGGUAAUUCUUGAAAACUGGGACAGUGGCUGCAGCUCUUUUCUCGGGGAACACAUCUCUGCAGUUGAAGAAAGUGGCCAAGCGAAGGAGAGUUGUUCUUCUCUCUCUCUCUCUCUCUGUCCGUUCCAACCCCCGUUCGUGCCUUUAAAGGGUGGUGAGCACCCUUUGGCGAUUAUUAAUCGGUCUCCUCGGGUCUUGCUCAACCAUUUUCACUCAUUUUUCGUCGUGGCAAAGAUCGUAGCUGGAAUUGAACAACUUUCCCUUCCCUCUGACAAGAGGGAAAAGAUAUUAUUUAUUCUCGGUUAUUUUAAUCGAAGAAAGAAGGCAAUUUUUGAAAGAAUAAUAUCCAAUUUGGAGAGUGUUUAAAAUAGUGUUUCGAAAUUAAUUGAACGAUGCCAGGUUAAGAAGAAGAGGAAGAGGAGGAAGAAAAAGAGGGAUGAUUAUCAGAGGAAGAGGAGGAAGAAAAUCAGUCUGGCAUUAUGGAAUACAGGCUUGAGAGGAAGGCCAGUGUGAAUCGAGUGCACGUUCCACGGUAUCGAUCAUGCGAGAUCGUGGCUUGUAUCUUAAAAAUUCACCGGUGAAACCGCGAUAGCCAUCGCGAACAAAGUAGAAACGGGGAUUUUCGUCACGAAACUAGCCUGGGCACGUCGUUCUAUAAAUAUAUAUAUAUAUAUUUUUCGAAGCCAUGAUUGAUAAGAACACAGCAACGUGCACCGAUUCGUCGAUAAUGCACCAUCUUCGUCCGUGUAAAGCGUGAAAUAUUCUUUGAAAAUGAAUUUUUUACAUGAUAAGAAAGAAAACAAAUUUCUACUCGAACGCUAGUAAAAUUUAUAAAGCAUAAACAUCUUUGUUAAUUAGAGAUAAAUCAAAAGGAAAGAUGGAUCUUUGAAUGAUAAAAUCCACCAUCUUGAAAAAAGAAGAAGAAGAAGAAUAUCUUCACAAAACCCGUUUCCAAGGAAUUCCUGUGAGCGUGUUCAAAAGAAAAUAAUUUUCCUGCCGUUGACAAAGAGGCUUCCGGUGGCUUCCAUCUUAAAAGAAGCCGGUAUCGACUCUGGUCGAAGUCGAGCAGAAACUGGUAAACUUUCAGGGUUCGUUUAUCUUAUCCGCGAGAUAACUGUUUUCGCAAGCGAAAGGUCGAUUUUUCCUUUGCGUGGGUCACUAUCGACCCGCUAUCUCGACACGUUUUGUCUCCUCGAUCUGACGUGUUACACAUGCGGCGACGUCACGCGAUCCAUUUCCGGUUCUUAAGGAGAGGGCAAACCGCAGAGCCGAUCUGAUGGGCGUGUAACAAAGCGAGGUAAAUUAGGGUGCUUGCACCCUUAAUUCCUGGCAUUUUGCGCAAUUUUGCGUGUUAAUAAAUAUUAACCCUCGACCUAUAAUACAUAACACGUAUAAAAUUAAUUAUAGAGCGUUUAUAUAAUAAUACGAGAUGAUUGUAUUAACGUGGUGUUGAAUAUAUAUAUAAAAAUAUAUUUUAUAACACGUUUAUGCGAAUAAUUAAAUUGCGAUGAAAUAUAUAACAGGGGUUGCGUGUAACGAUGAAUCCGAAUAUAAAAUUCGAUGAAAUAAAAUCGUUCGAUCGAGGCAUAAAUUGGAUUUAUAAUGAAUUCUCUGUUGAGUAUAAAUUUAUUUUUGUGAUUCGAAAUGACGUUUUUUUCUUCAUCUCGUCGAAAUAAAAAUUAAGGGAUGUUUCAAAAAUGUAGGAUGUUCUUUGAAAUUUAUUUAAAAUAAUAUAAAAAAAAUAUAAAUUGUUCGAUCCCGUGAUAAAAUUAAUCUUCAAAUGAUUUCUUUUCGUUGGUGCACCAUUUUCGAGAAAGUAAUAAGUCACUAUUCUUUUUUUUUUUUUUUUCCUUCACUUUUUUAUUUUUCGAUGUCGAAACCGAGAUUAUUUUCAUGGAGUUUCGUUGCAAAGGUGAAAAGUUAGACUGUUAUUUUCAGAUGGAGAUUGUGCAAACGAUAGUUUGGAAGGUGUUAUAUAGGAGGGCUCUAUUAACAGCGCCCUCUUUUUAAAUUUUAAAUACAUAAAGUUUCUUGAAUAUAACAUGACAGAAAUAUCUAAUUUAUUUGACGUAAGAUUAUAGGUUGACUCUUUCUUUUUUUUCUUUUUUACGUGAGAAAAAUUAUUAAAUAUUUUUUUUUUUAUUUAGAAAAAUAAUAUUAAAUGCUUCGUUAUUUUACUUUAAAAGAAAUAUUAAUUCUUGAAAUAAUAAUUAAAUUUUUCAAAGAGAGUAUUUUGAAGAAAGAAUUCUCAAGUACAUUCCAAGAAAAUAAAAUUAAAAAGUACGAAAUAAUUAUCCUUUCUUAAUAAAUCCGCUCUUGAGAAGAGGUAAAAAAAAGAAAAAUUAAAAGAUAAAAGAUAUAAUAAAACACCGACGAAAUAAUGAAAAUAUUCUCAGCUUCUUAAUUAAGCAAAGGAAAACGGUGUAUGAAACAUUUAACCUUUCCAUGUUAAAAGUAAAUCGAAAAGAAUAAUCUCAACAGAUCUUUUAAAAAAAAAAGAAAAAAAAACUCUCCAUUAUUCCAUGAUUGAAUCAAAUUAAAAACAAAAAAAGAAAAAAGAUCUAUCAUCGGGAGAUAAGUAAAUUGAAUCACAUUUGCAUAAAAAUUUGCACGUUCGAUAAAAAUGCUAAAUCGUUAAUCCACGAAAAAUAAGAUAAAGAUACGCGAGGAUAUUUAAAUCCUUAAUCUUGUUUCGAUUUUUCCACCUUUAUUGUCUUCCUUUUUCUUUGCUCGAGCAUCGGCUUCCUUUCCGAAACGGCGCAGGCUGAUUUGAAUCUCAAGCGGAAGUCUUAAACGAUACAAGAAGCGGCGAAUGUGACUUAAAUCUCGAGCAGGAAAUUUUACGGGGUACAAGCGAAAGAAAAUGUACAGAAGACUCGCGAUUCGAAUACAUAAUCGAUCGGUCGGUAUGUUACCUUCGGAGGAAAUAUUGUUCCUUCACUUGCGAGUGUUGUCUGAAGAAUUUUAUAUGAUAGUUUAUAUUAUAUUAUAUUUCAUAUAUAUAUUAUAAUAUAUAACUUAUAUAUUUGAUUUUUUUUUCUAGAAAAACUAUACAGAAAUUUAUUUUCGAAAUUAUAAUAAAAAUACAAUAUUUGGAAUACGCUUCGUUAUUAGGUUUUAGUUAAUUUUAAUGGAUCUUUAAACAGGCCUAUUAUUAAUUUAAAGGAAAAAUAUAUUUAUGUAUGACAUACUAAUGGAUUAGAUGGCAUCAACAGGCUGUCCCACGAUUUCGUUGAAGGAAUUUAAUUGAAUUUAAUCGCGAUUUAAGCGUCUGGUCCGGACAGUAGCGAGACGACUAGCUGGAUUCGACAAUAGAAUCGUUUUCGACAGACGUGCCAGUCAUUUUCAGCGCGUCUUUCGCCCUCCACCAUUCCACCGGAAAUACGUCGAUUCCUGGGUAUAUCCGCGUCGAGAGCGCCAAGUGUUCAGAUAUCGAAUUCGUGGAAGAUGGUUUACUAUAUUGUUUUUUUUUUCUCUCUAUUUUUCCUCCUCUAUUUUUCCCAAGAUUUUGUGAAAAAUAUAUUGUUUCUUUGAAAUUUUAAAAUUUGGAAAAGAUAUAUUUUUGGAAAAUUUUAAAUCUCUUGUAAUAAAAUUUGAAAUUUUUAUGAAAUGGAUAGAUGGAGAAAGAAAAGAUACGAAAAUUUUGAUUUUUUUACGAUGAAAUUGACACGCGAAAAAGAAAAAUUUAUUUUCUUUCAAAUUUUAGUAAAAUUUUUAUGAUAAAAUUAGAAAUUCAUGUAAAAUUAAAUUUCGGAAAUUUUGAUCUUUUUCUUGUGAUUUGAAAUUUAAAUUUUUCGUGAAAUUGAUACGUGAAAAUGAAAAAGACCUGGUCUUUAAAAUUUAAACAACUAUAUUCCCUAUCCUAUUUCGAUAAUUAACAUUUUAUAUUAUCAAUAUUUCGAUAAGAAAAAAAAACAAAAUUUUCAAUUUUUGUUUUAAUUAAAACUAAACAUAAAUCAAUUAUAAAAAAGAAAAAUUCUUUACAUGUUUAUUAAAAGACACUUUUAUUAUAUUUCAUUCUUGAUUCAUGAUAUAAAAAAAUUUAUGUGUUAAAUUAUUUUUAUUCUUUUUUUUAAUUAAAAGAAAUUGGAAAAUUUGAUAAUGUUUCCCCUGUGUAAUAAAAUGUAACGAGCAUAAUGUAAUUAGUACAAUAUAUGCAGAAGAUUUUAAAAAUGUAAACUGCUGUAUAAUGUAAUACAUUGUAAUUUGUAUGUAAAAUGAA